UCUUUUGCACAAAACAUUUAUCCUCAAAUCCUUGUGCACUAUUUUCUCUCGUCCAAGGAAGAACGGAUACAACGUUUCGUUCUUCUUCUUUAUCUCUUUGCCUCUUAUGUCGAUUGGUUUGCAGUGGCCACUGUUGGUGAAGAUUGGGUUGAGAAAUUGGAAGAGGAAGACGAUGCCGGUCGGGAGGCGACAUAUUAGGUUUCCGAUGCCGGUAAGGGUUUUUCAGUGGCGGCCAUGAAUUGAAAUGGACGGGAUUUGAUUGAUUUUGGUGUCAUUCUUGUUGAUUUUGGUUUUGAUUUAGGCAUUUGGAUGUGAUUGAAGAAGAAAUUUAGAGAAUUUAAAUAAAAGAAAGUUGGGGAGAUUUGUUAUUCAGUGAGUUUGGAAUUGGAUUUUGCUAAUACGCAAAUGAAUAAAUAUUGGAGAAGACGGUGGUGCUUUGGUUUGCUUUUACUUUAAAAUGAUUUAGGCAUUUCUAUGGUUUUGCCUUUCAACUAGGAAAUUGAUAAAAAGUUGGGCUAGGUAAAAUAUUUUCUAUGUUUUAGAUUGAAAUUUUAUUCGUAUUCAUCUUUAUUAAGGUUGAUUUCUUUUCAUGAGACUUCUUUAAUUGAUUUUGUCUUUUUGAUAGACUUUUUUACUGUUCGAUUGUUUUUUCUUGAUAUUUUGGUUGUGGAUUUUCAAAGAGCUAUGAAUGGAAGCGAUGAAGUGAAUAAAAUGGAUUUUAAGUUUUCUUAUGAGGAGGAAAAAAGUCAGUGUUAGAGCUCAACAGUUGGAAUGAAAUUGGCUUAUUCAAUGACAAUAGAAGCUAGAAUUCCAUUAAUUAUGAACACAAAUAUUGUAAUAUCAGGGGAGAUCUCAAAUUCUUAUACAUGGGGAGAAACCAUUAAGAAAUCAACUGCUAAAACAUCUUCAUAUUCACAUGAAGUACAUCCAAGAACUUCAGUCAAAGUGAUCCCAUGCUAACCAAAGGAUAUUGUGAUGUUCCAUUCUCAUAUACUCAACGUGAUCUUCUUGUCAAUGGACAAACAAGAACUACAGAACAUGAUGAUGGUUUAUUCACAGGAGUUAAUUGCUAAAAUAUGGAGAGAAAUCUUGUAAUGAGUCUUGGAAAGGACUUUCUUGGUGAAUGGUAAGUUCCUUUUCUUUGUCUCUAACUCUAUUAUUAUAUAAUUUAUUCUGAAGUCUUGGAAAGAACUUUCUUGUGGAUGGCCAAGAGUGCCCUGCAGAUGUUUGGGUGAUAGAAUUAAUUAGGAGGGUCUAUAGGUGACAUAGAAUCAAUGUCGUUCAUUGAAGCUUUGCUGCAACUUUCCUUUUCAGUUGGACUGAUGUCGAAUCCAAAAGCUAGCACUGUUACAAUAAAUAUACCUCAGAUGUUGAUCUGGCAGUUGCUUUUGUUGUCACUACGCUGAGGAAAUUGCAGACAGUUGAGCUCAUUAUAGUUCGUCUUUUUUAGGAGAAUACACCUUAUGUUGUUUAUAUCAUGAAUCUUGCUGCUAGGCAUUAUGUCAUCAUCAUACCCACGUAAUAAUUUUCUAGAGACGGACGCUAUGUUCCUCGAGUUUGAGGACGAUUUAGAUAACAUUGCGGGAGGGUCGUCGUUUAUGGGCGACAAUACAAGUCUUCUUCUCAACAACCUGCGACUCCGACUCCUAGAAGAUGUACACAGUCUCAACUCUUAGAGUUGGAGCGCCACGUUACAAUAAAUGGGCGCAUUCUGAUGAUGAUUGCCUUUGGAGCGGAGAAGCCUAUUUCUCCACACGUCGUUCGCUUCAGCCAGGCGAUAGGCGUGUGCGUGCGAAAGACAUUUCUCGUCCGCUGCCUUAAGUGGGCGGACGUUAGGAGAUAAUACAUUGAGGUCAUCAAAGGCGACCUCCAGAAGUUUUUUGUGUUUAAUUUCAAAGAUCAAGCAAUGAAUAGGUUUGUUGAGCAUCAGUUGCUCACGACCUUUAAAGAGUUCUGGGCCAACUGUCACAGACACUUCAAAAAGUACAGAGACCCAAAGGAGGCUCGUGCCAACCCACCAAACGUAUUGGUUGGACGUCAUGAGGAUUAACACUUCCUCUACGACCACUACAUGAGUCGUGCAUUCCAGUAGCAAUCACGAACGAACAAGGCUACUAGAUAGAAGAAACUUUACAAUCAUAGCAGUGGGUCCAAGUCGUUUCUACAACGAUAGUACGAGCUCGUUGAGAGAAAAAGGGAGUCGGUUGAUCAUGUGGAGUUGUUCCGGGAAACACACAUUCAAGCUGGGACGUUCGUGUUGCAAGCCGUAGAGGAUGCGUAUAAUCAAAUGCUGGAACUCUAGUCUCAGCUUACCGCAGAGGGUAAUCAGCUACUCUAUAAAGAUAAGAUAUGUGAUCAGGAGUUGGAUAGACGAUCAGGCUACUCAGAAGACCUUGGUUGGGGACCCAAGCCGAAGGCCCGCAAGACGAUAAGUGCGAGUAGUUCCACGACGUCAUGUUCUCAGUCGACCACAGAAAGAUAUUCAAAUACAAGCUAAACUUGAUCAAGCUUUGGAACGGAUUGAAUUGCAAGAUAGAAAUUUUCAAGCGUUAGCUUCAGAAAUGGAACAAAUGCAAAAGCCGAUACAGGACAUGACUCGAGCACAGCAAGAACCACCACAUGAUCCUUAGCUUUGCGGUACAUAUGACCCAAGGUGUAGAAUAGCGCGUAUGAUCCUCGUUAGGAGACACACGACUUUGUUUGUAGUUUUUUAUAUUAUGAGAACUACAUUUUUUGUAUUAUGAACAACUAUAUAUUUUUUAACUUAUUAAUUAUGUUUUUU
Molecule: long non-coding RNA, 2782 nt
Organism: Cucumis melo (muskmelon)
Lineage: Eukaryota; Viridiplantae; Streptophyta; Magnoliopsida; Cucurbitales; Cucurbitaceae
Exons: 10
Source: RefSeq, a predicted model, not a curated record